GAUGAAGAACGUAGCGAAAUGCGAUAAGUAAUGUGAAUUGCAGAAUUCAGUGAAUCAUCGAAUCUUUGAACGCACAUUGCGCCCCCUGGUAUUCCGGGGGGCAUGCCUGUCCGAGCGUCAUUACAACCCUCAAGCUCAGCUUGGUGUUGGGCCCCGCCGCCCCGGCGGGCCCUAAAGUCAGUGGCGGUGCCGUCCGGCUCCGAGCGUAGUAAUUCUUCUCGCUCUGGAGGUCCGGUCGUGUGCUCGCCAGCAACCCCCAAUUUUUUUCAGGUUGACCUUGGAUCAGGUAGGGAUACCCGCUGAACUUAAGCAUAUCAAUAAGCGGAGGA
This 329-nucleotide unclassified non-coding RNA is filed under the name soil metagenome. Its description in RNAcentral is "partial contains 5.8S ribosomal RNA, internal transcribed spacer 2, and large subunit ribosomal RNA". The stretch from base 1 to 120 matches the Rfam family "5.8S ribosomal RNA", at positions 35 to 154 of the family's 154-position model. The record is from RNAcentral.